UUAGAGUUUGAUCCUGGCUCAGGAUAAACGCUGGCGGCGUGCCUAACACAUGCAAGUCGAACGACCUUGACCGCAAGGCCAAGGGAGUGGCGGACGGGUGAGGAACACGUGGGUGACCUACCUUGAAGUGAGGGAUACCGGCGGAAAUCGCCGACAAUCCCGCAUAGGUUUCUCUCUUCGAGAGGAAGAGAGAAACAAAGCUUUUUUCGCGAGAAGAGGGCGCUUUGAGAUGGGCCCGCGGCCGAUUAGCUGGUUGGUGGGGUAAAAGCCUACCAAGGCUGCGAUCGGUAGCUGGUCUGAGAGGACGAUCAGCCACACUGGGAUUGAGAACGGCCCAGACUCCUACGGGGGGCAGCAGUGAGGAAUUUUCGGCAAUGGGGGCAACCCUGACCGAGCAACGCCGCGUGCAGGACGAAGGUCUUCGGAUCGUAAACUGCUUUUUCUCUGGGAAGAGCGAGGACGGUACCAGAGGAAGAAGCCCCGGCUAACUACGUGCCAGCAGCCGCGGUAAUACGUAGGGGGCGAGCGUUGUCCGGAGUUACUGGGCGUAAAGGGCAUGUAGGCGGUCCGAUCAGUUUGGGGUUACAGCUCCCGGCUCAACUGGGAGAGCGCCUCGAAGACGGUGGGACUUGAGAGCCAGAGAGGGACACAGAAUUCCGGGUGUAGUGGUGAAAUGCGUAGAUAUCCGGAGGAAUACCAAAGGCGAAGGCAGUGUCCUGGCUGAUUUCUGACGCUGAGGUGCGAAARCUAGGGGAGCGAACGGGAUUAGAUACCCCGGUAGUCCUAGCCGUAAACGAUGACCACUAGGUGUGCGGGGUAUYGACCCCCUGCGUGCCGCAGCUAACGUGAUAAGUGGUCCGCCUGGGGAGUACGGUCGCAAGAUUAAAACUCAAAGGAAUUGACGGGGACCCGCACAAGCAGCGGAGCGUGUGGUUUAAUUCGAUGCAACCCGAAGAACCUUWCCGGGGUUUGACAUGCAGUGGAAAGCCGUAGAGAUACGGUCCUYCCGCAAGGGAUCGCUGCACAGGUGGUGCAUGGCUGUCGUCAGCUCGUGCCGUGAGGUGUUGGGUUAAGU
Molecule: ribosomal RNA, 1075 nt
Filed under: uncultured bacterium
Lineage: Bacteria
Description: bacterial SSU rRNA
Rfam family: Bacterial small subunit ribosomal RNA
Source: RNAcentral